This 25-nucleotide non-coding RNA is filed under the name Rattus norvegicus (Norway rat). The record is from RNAcentral. Lineage: Eukaryota; Metazoa; Chordata; Mammalia; Rodentia; Muridae.
UGAAGCAACAGAUAUGUGGAUGGAC